UACGAAGGGGACUAGCGUUGUUCGGAAUUACUGGGCGUAAAGCGCACGUAGGCGGAUUUGUAAGUCAGGGGUGAAAUCCCGGGGCUCAACCUCGGAACUGCCUUUGAUACUGCAAAUCUCGAGUCCGAUAGAGGUGGGUGGAAUUCCUAGUGUAGAGGUGAAAUUCGUAGAUAUUAGGAAGAACACCGGUGGCGAAGGCGGCCCACUGGAUCGGAACUGACGCUGAGGCGCGAAAGCGUGGGGAGCAAACAGG
This 253-nucleotide ribosomal RNA is filed under the name uncultured bacterium. Its description in RNAcentral is "partial 16S ribosomal RNA". It matches the Rfam family "Bacterial small subunit ribosomal RNA", at positions 524 to 776 of the family's 1533-position model. The record is from RNAcentral.